GGGAAGGACCCUCCUGUCUCUCCCCCAUCUCGCAUCACUCCAGGAAGCCUCCAGCAUGGGAGGGAGCCGGGAGAGUGCAGGGGGGACUCUGGGGCCCCCAGUCAGGCAACCCAAGACCCCAGCUCUGCAGCCGCAGGAGUUACGAGUGCCCAGAUCCCCUUGAGCACCAAGCCGGAGACCACCUUGGGCUGGAGCCCAGCACGGCCACCGCCUCGUCUCGGCUAUCCAGCUUGGGACAGACAGCGUCCAGCCCCAGCUCCAUGGACACAGACCGUCCCCUCAGGGACACCCCAGCCUCUGACGGGGCUGCCAUGAGGGCAGAAUGUGGCCAGGGACUCCCAGCCCGUCGCACGUCCCCCACCUCCACUGACAACCUCCGAGAUACACACAUCUCUUCCAGCUUUGUGUCCGCCGCUGGACGGGACCCCCGCUGCCCAUGUGGAUGGCAGGGGACGGGGGCGCCAAGGGCCCCCACAGCCACACACGGCUGCACAAAAUGGCUCCCAUCUUGCUUCCUCAGCAAGAAGGAAGAUGCUGCUCUUUGGAUGGACGGCUGCUGCCCACCCCGUGCCCAGCCACUCCUCUCCCCUGGAGUGGCCGUCAGGACGCUCUUCCCUCGGCCACGGGGCUCUGUUCCCUG
This is a long non-coding RNA of Bos taurus (domestic cattle), 640 nucleotides long. The record is from Ensembl. NCBI's taxonomy places the organism in Eukaryota, Metazoa, Chordata, Mammalia, Artiodactyla, Bovidae.